RNAcentral lists this ribosomal RNA (482 nucleotides) under uncultured bacterium. RNAcentral describes it as "partial 16S ribosomal RNA". It matches the Rfam family "Bacterial small subunit ribosomal RNA", at positions 30 to 507 of the family's 1533-position model. The record is from RNAcentral.
AUUGAACGCUGGCGGCAUGCUUUACACAUGCAAGUCGAACGGUAACAGGCCGCAAGGUGCUGACGAGUGGCGAACGGGUGAGUAAUGCAUCGGAACGUGCCCAGUCGUGGUGGAUAACUACUCGAAAGAGUAGCUAAUACCGCAUACGAUCUAUGGAUGAAAGCGGGGGACCGCAAGGCCUCGCGCGAUUGGAGCGGCCGAUGUCAGAUUAGGUAGUUGGUGGGGUAAAGGCUCACCAAGCCAACGAUCUGUAGCUGGUCUGAGAGGACGACCAGCCACACUGGAACUGAGACACGGCCCAGACUCCUACGGGAGGCAGCAGUGGGGAAUUUUGGACAAUGGGCGCAAGCCUGAUCCAGCAAUGCCGCGUGCAGGAAGAAGGCCUUCGGGUUGUAAACUGCUUUUGUACGGAACGAAACGGCUCUGGUUAAUACCCGGGGCUAAUGACGGUACCGUAAGAAUAAGCACCGGCUAACUACGUG